This 788-nucleotide long non-coding RNA is filed under the name Phasianus colchicus (ring-necked pheasant). Its description in RNAcentral is "lncRNA (ENSPCLG00000016414.1)". Lineage: Eukaryota; Metazoa; Chordata; Aves; Galliformes; Phasianidae. The record is from RNAcentral.
CCCACAACCCCCCCCACCGCCCCCCGACCCCCUCUCUCCCCUCAGGUGAAGGCUGAGGACCCCCCGGAGCCGCCCCCCCACCUCCCCCCCACCCCACUGAUGUUGGGGGGAAACCAGCUGGGGGACCUGCAGCAGCUCCUGCAGCUCCAGCAGCUGGUUUUGGUGCCCGGCCCCCACGCGCUGCCGCCGUCCGCUCCGUUCCUGCUGCCCCCGACCCCACAGGGACAGCAAGGUGGGGCCAGGGGUCAGGGGUCACAGGGUCAGCAGGUCAUGGGGGGUUGGGGGGAGGGGGGCAUUGGGAGCCUUUGGGGUCAUUGGGCUCAUUGGGGGUCUUUGGGGUCAUUGGGGUCUUUCUUUGGGGGUGUUUAUUUGGGGUCUCUGUGGUCGUUAUUUGGGGUCUUUGGGGUCAUUAUUGGCGGUCUUUAUUUGGGGUCUUUGGGUUAUUGGGGUCAUCAUUUGGGGUCAUUAUUUGGGGUCUUUAUUUGGGGUCAUCAUUUGGGGUCAUUAUUUGGCGUCUUUGGGUCAUCGGUGUCUUCAUUUGGGGUCUUCAUCUGGGGUCUCUGCGGCCUUUAUUUGGGGUCUUUGGGAUCUUUGUGCCCUUGGAGGUAUUUGGGGGGGUCCGGGGGUCCCCCACUGGGCGUUGGGUUUUGGGGCUCCGUGUCUGGGCCCCCCCUGACACCGCGUCUUGCAGGGCUGCUGCCCACCCCCAACCUCUUUCAGCUACCUCAGCCGACCGGGGGGCUGCUGCCCGCCCCCCCCCGCGCGGGGCUGCCCCAGCAGGUAGGGAC